GAAUGAAAUGAUGGUAUACCAUCUUUCGGGACUGACCUGAAAUGGAGACGAACUUUUUAAUGCUGAUCACUC
Molecule: small nucleolar RNA, 72 nt
Organism: Polyodon spathula (Mississippi paddlefish)
Lineage: Eukaryota; Metazoa; Chordata; Actinopteri; Acipenseriformes; Polyodontidae
Product: small nucleolar RNA SNORD2
Exons: 1
Source: RefSeq, a predicted model, not a curated record